CCCACCCACCUACCCUGCUCCUUGGAUGACAGACAGGCGCCCUCCUUCCUGGCAGUCCAGCCGGGGGCAGGGACGCCCCUUUAGAAGCAGGGUCUCCAGGGCCCUUGGCUCAGAGCCCUUCUGCGGGGCACGCUUGCUGAGGGUGUGCACUAUCACUGGGGGUGGCGGAGCCUGGCACCACGGUCAGCUCCUCUUCAGCCAGGUGUGGUGUGGUCUGAGGGACACUCUCCGGGCUGCACAAGAGACACAGCCAGGUGUGAAGUGGGUCCCACCUCUCCUGACCUGUAGGAGCUUCCACUUCCCCUCUCAGCAGAGAUGCAAGUGGACCGGAUUCCCCACAGGGGUGCCGGGUGGGCACAUCUGCCCCGUGCCCAGCCCCGUAGCCCAGCCCCGUGCCUAGCCAGGCCUAGCCCAUAACCAGGACCCAGCAUCUCCUGGAAGAAAAACUUUCACUUGGGCCUCUGCUAUCUGGUUAGACUUCCCCCAAAAGCAGAGGGCCAGAGAGGGAGGCCACACAGCCCCACCCCAGCACUCCCCACCCGUCAGCGCAUUUCAGUGUGACCUGUGUUUACACGGCACACAUACUUACAAUUCCUCUGCAACCACCGCUCAAAGCCUGGGCAGCCACAAAUAUUCCACAGUGCUUGUCAGGGCCCAGCAGCCCCAGCCUGCCCCGCCUGCGCCUCCCUCACUGCCCUUGGUGCUUCCGCUGCCUCUGCCCGCAGCCCUGCCGCGGCGCUGCCCACUGCUAGGGGAGGCCAGGCACCGCCCGAGCACUCUGCGGGCCCUGCUGGAGUCUGUGCAGUGGAUGGAGGGCCAGACAAUGCGUGUGUCCAAGUGUCUGUCAGCCCCACAGCUUGCUCCGGCGACACCGAGAUGCCUCAAGGAGCUCAGGGCCCCGUGGGAGACACACCAGCAAGCGAGGAAACAUGCCAGCAUGCCCCAAGUGUAGCAGUGGAGUCUGCAAGAAGCCAGCAGGGCACAAAAGGUGGGCACCCGGCCUGCUGGGAGGACCGGGAGAGGGUUCUGAGAGCAGUGUAGCACCAGGAUGAGCUCUUCAGAUUGUGAAGUCCUCCAGGAAGAGAGGGCAGUAUGAGUGAAGGGUCGGGGAACAGAGCAGUCUCCCCAGUUCAGUGAACCCCACAGCUUGCUUGGCUGCAGCAGAAGGUAUGAGAGGAGAGGGAGAAUGGAAAUGGCCAGACCUGCAGCUGGGAGGAGAGCACAGGCUUCACCCUGAGGGCAGUGGGGAGCCACAGCAGGCUUUAGCCUACAGGAGGAACGUGCUCCAACUCGAAUCUGAGACACUUCCCUGGGACAGGCGUGGAGGACGGACUGGAGGAACCCAGCCUAGGAGGAAAUGCUGAAGAGAGUGGGAAAGAGCAAGCUUGGGAAGGCCCUGGAAAACUUUUUCCAAAUUCCUGCCCGUGGCUUGGGCAGAGUCUCAAGGAGGUGUGUUGAACAGCCGGUUCUGCUGACAUUCUGGGAAUUAAUGAAGCUGGGUGCAGCCUGCCAACCUCACAGCUCCAGAGGAGGAAAAAAGGGAGUUGUGUGUUCACAGCCAAAAGAGGAGUUCAUAAAUUUUCCUAAAAUUACUAGAUGUGUGUAAUUUAUGGCCAAGGCCAGACACUCCAAGCCCCCAAGGAGCAGAGCAGUGGCUGCAAGGAGGCAUCAUGGGAGAAUGGCCACCGUGGGCUCUGCCAUGCUCCGAAGAACAGCAGGGAGGUGGCAAGUGACGGGAAAGGGGUCCAAGAAGUAGCAUCCAGAAAGAUGAGGUAAAGGCAGCGCUGAUUCCAUUCUCGUGCCAAGCUAUCCUUAAGCAUCAGACAGAGUGAGCACCUAAGCAGAUGGCCGGCUGGGAACGCCGCAGGGACCCUCCUCAGCCGCUAAGUGAGAAAUGCCUGAGGUUGGCCCCCAGCACACGGGAGCCCCUGGAGACAACAUGGCCCUCCCUGCUGCUGGCAGAGAUCAAAGGUUCCUCGAGACAGGGACAUCACCAAGGCUGGGCCGGAUGACCCUGCCGCAGGGUAGCUACUAAUAUUCAGGUGGCAAAGACCACAUUAGCCACCCAGCACCUGCAUCUUCACGCACCUUGGGUGCCCGCUCCUCACAAGCAUACACAGGCCAGGAUGCUCCCCACACCCGGCCAAAAAACAGAAAAGCUCUGCAGGUGUCUUAGGACCCGUUCCUCGAGGAGGCCCCGCACCUUUGGUGUACCCAUUUUCAGUUGACACAGGUCUGAGCAGCUGUGCCCUUUCCAAGGCCACACAGGUAGUCAGUGGCAGAAGCGAGUUUCAGAUUCAGAUCUCACAUCCCCGCCACCCACAUUGUCCCCCAGCUGUGUCUCCUUACACCCAUGACAAUCAGAGGCGGCAUGUUUGUGUCAUCGUCAUGCCUUUAACUAACACACGAGAUACUAUAUACAUUUUCUUGCUAAACAUAUUUUUAAAGAUAAUGAAGAACUAUAGGUGCCCACUGUAUUUGAGAAGACAAAGCGCCAGUGGAAAGCAGAGGGCUCCCCUCCUCCCGUGGACGUACAGCCGCAGGUGGCCAGUGGCCUGGGAGGAAGCCUGCCCAGGCGUGGGGGAACAUUCCCGGAUCCCCGGCCCCACCUGGCUGUGAAUUUAUCUGCAGCCCCUGGCCCACCAGGCUUUGGGGGGAGCUUUUCCGGACCAGCACUCUAGGCCAGUCCCGGAGCCAUCCCUGGAGGGGCCACGGCCAUCGUGGGAAGGACGCCAAGCCAGGGAAAUGGGGACUCUGAUGUAGGCUCCAAAGCACUGCCCUCUGCUGAGAGGCUGCUAUUUCCUGACAAACGCACCUCCCAGAACAACCUCACUGUUAGGAUGAAAAGCCAUCUUGGAGGAGGGAAAAAAGGACGCCCCCACGGAGGUGACUCCAAGUUUCCAUGGUCGAGUGGAGUGAGCAGCCCACCCCUAUCCAUCAUGACAGCUGCCCUCCUGCCAGGCUGUCCCAAGAGCUCUGAGGACAGUUGAGGUCGCAGACAGUUUAGGAACAGAAGAGGCAGGGUGGAGGGGCCAGAGAAGGAAGGCGGUGAGCUUGGCCAGGGCAGCCGCACAGUGAUGUGACCGUGUGGCCUGUGGUGAGCUGGAGUGGUGGGCGGCCCCGGGCCACUGUGCGCAGCUGACCAGGCCGCGAGCUUCUUCACCACACUGCCCCACCACCUGCCCAUCGGGCCAUGAGACUAGCAAGCCCACCACUACCAUGCAAGUCACAGGAGGUGGAGUCACGGGGCUGGGGGCCCCCUGGAGGCCGACCAGGCCACAGGCCGGUGCAGAAAAAGAAGAUUCAGUCCUGAGGGGUCAGAGGUGAGGGCUUGAGGUCACCAGACCCGAGUUCAAGCCUGACCUGAGUCUUGACCGUGGAACCUCGGGCAAACGGCUCCAACUCUCUGAGACUGGUCUUCCUCAUCCAUCCGCGGGGACUGAGGAUUCCUGUCCAGCAGUAUAACGGGAUGAAAUGAGAUCACGUGUUUGCCGAUGAGACGUGUAGAUAAUAUUGCAACUGCUGGGGCCUGAGGGCUGCAUGGGCGAGACACUGUGCCAUCUCGGAUGGGCCUGGAGCCUCCCGUAUGAAGGCAGCGUGAUGGCCAUUCCCAUUUUACAGACGAGAUGACUGAAGCUCACAGCGGGAAGGAAGGAGCCCAGUCCCACGGGGCUAGGAAGUGGCCAUCAGGCCCAGAACGUGGUCUGCCUGGCUCCAAGGACCCAGCCCUCCCUCAGACCCCAGCCCCUCCUGGAGGAGGAGCCUAUAGAUUCCAGUCUCUUCCUGUGGAGACCGGAAGUGGAGGCAUUUUCAAUGUGCAAAUUUUCCUUCCCUGAGAUUCUGGGAGAUUCUUCCAAAACUGCAACAGCACAGACAGGAGGCUGGAAGAGACGUGUCCUGCUCUGGGGCGGGGGUGUUCAUCCCUCCCCUGUUUACAGGGGGUCCCUCUGCACCCCUUGCCCUCCUCCACAGGGACGUUCUGAAUGGUGGCAGGAAGGUCACUGUUUCAUCAUUCAGAGAUACCUCCCGCCAGACAGAUCAGCUAGGCUCUGGGCUCUGGCCACCCCUGGCCUUACAUGUCACCGUGGAGGGCAGCCCAAGCUCUCCUCUCUCCUCCUUCCGCCAGACAGAUCAGCUAGGCUCUGGGCUCUGGCCACCCCUGGCCUUACAUGUCAGUGUGGAGGGUGGCCCGAGCUCUCCACUCUCCUCCUUCUCAGGGUCAGGAAUGGUAUUGUUUUUGCAAAGAACAGCUUCAGAAGCUCCCUCGGGCUGGGCAGGAAUUAAAUCACAAGUGUUCCAGGGCAGGGACAGGCUCAAUGUCCCCAUCAAUCUUCCCACGGGGCAUUGCAGGCUCCGGCUGAGAAGGAUUUACGGGGUAGGAGGGGUGUGGGACAAUGGCUGCCCCUCCCAGGCCCUGUCGGCAGCUUUUUCCCACGGUUGGCUCCGACCAGGCCCUAAUGGAUGGGUCAGAAAGGUCAGCUCACGGGGGUUCGCUCCUGCAUGCCAGAGGUUGCCGCCACAGUCAGCUCGGGCUGGGGGCUUACCGCUGGUGUCAGUUGCUCUUUAUUCUCUUCUGUAUUUUCCAAAGUCUCUGCAAAGAGCAUGUAUUACUUUUAAAAUCAAAAGAGGAGAGGAAACAA
Macaca mulatta (Rhesus monkey) is the source of this 4640-nucleotide non-coding RNA. The record is from RefSeq and is a predicted model, not a curated record. Lineage: Eukaryota; Metazoa; Chordata; Mammalia; Primates; Cercopithecidae.